AAAAACAUGUCUUUUUGGUUACUUAAUAUAAAGUCUGACCUGCCCACUGAAUUUAGUUUUGAAGGGCCGCAGUAUUUUGACUGUGCAAAGGUAGCAUAAUCAUUAGUCUUUUAAUUGAAGGCUGGUAUGAAUGGUUGGAUGAGGUACAAGCUGUGUCAUAAAAAUUAAUAUUUGAAUUUAACUUUUUAGUCAAAAGGCUAAAAUUUAAUUGAAAGACGAGAAGACCCUAUAGAGCUUUAUACAAUGAUUAUUUAAUUUAUUAAGAUUUAUUAAAUUUAAUUAUUUUAUUGUAUUUUGUUGGGGUGACAAUAAAAUUUAAAAAACUUUUAUUAUUAUUUUACAUUUAUUUAUGACCUUAUGAUCCAGUUUUAUUGAUUAUAAAUUUAAGUUACCUUAGGGAUAACAGCGUAAUUUUUUUUGAGAGUUCAUAUCGACAAAAAAGAUUGCGACCUCGAUGUUGGAUUAAGAGUAAUUUUGGGUGUAGAAG
Molecule: ribosomal RNA, 487 nt
Filed under: Simulium ignescens
Lineage: Eukaryota; Metazoa; Arthropoda; Insecta; Diptera; Simuliidae
Description: partial 16S ribosomal RNA
Rfam family: Bacterial large subunit ribosomal RNA
Source: RNAcentral